This 448-nucleotide ribosomal RNA is filed under the name uncultured bacterium. RNAcentral describes it as "SSU rRNA". It matches the Rfam family "Bacterial small subunit ribosomal RNA", at positions 26 to 518 of the family's 1533-position model. The record is from RNAcentral.
AGAACGAACGCUGGCGGCAGGCUUAACACAUGCAAGUCGAACGCUUCACCCUCGGGUGGAGAGUGGCAGACGGGUGAGUAACACGUGGGAACGUACCCCUUUGUUCGGAAUAACCCUGGGAAACUAGGGCUAAUACCGGAUACGGCCGAGAGGCGAAAGGUUUACCGCAGAGGGAUCGGCCCGCGUCCGAUUAGCUAGUUGGUGAGGUAACGGCUCACCAAGGCAUUGAUCGGUAGCUGGUCUGAGAGGAUGACCAGCCACAUUGGGACUGAGACACGGCCCAAACUCCUACGGGAGGCAGCAGUGGGGAAUAUUGGACAAUGGGCGCAAGCCUGAUCCAGCCAUGCCGCGUGAGUGAUGAAGGCCUUAGGGUUGUAAAGCUCUUUUACCUGGAAGAUCAUGACGGUACCAGGAGAAUAAGCCCGGCUAACUUCGUGCCAGCAGCCGC